RNAcentral lists this ribosomal RNA (253 nucleotides) under uncultured bacterium. Its description in RNAcentral is "partial 16S ribosomal RNA". It matches the Rfam family "Bacterial small subunit ribosomal RNA", at positions 524 to 776 of the family's 1533-position model. The record is from RNAcentral.
AACGUAGGACGCAAGCGUUAUCCGGAGUUACUGGGCGUAAAGGGCGUGUAGGCGGCGCUGCAAGUUCGUCGUGAAAGACCCCGGCUCAACCGGGGGAGGUCGAGGGAGACUGCGGCGCUGGAGGACGGUAGAGGGACAGGGAAUUCCGGGUGUAGUGGUGAAAUGCGUAGAGAUCCGGAGGAACACCAGUGGCGAAGGCGCUGUCCUGGGCCGCACCUGACGCUGAGACGCGACAGCAUGGGGAGCGAACGGG